Molecule: long non-coding RNA, 1857 nt
Organism: Cucumis melo (muskmelon)
Lineage: Eukaryota; Viridiplantae; Streptophyta; Magnoliopsida; Cucurbitales; Cucurbitaceae
Exons: 2
Source: RefSeq, a predicted model, not a curated record
GGGGGGGGGGGGGGAGGGGACUAAGGAAUCUCAUGUUGACCAUUUUUUUAUAUGUGGAAAAUUGAUUGCUCUUAUUGACUUUUUUGUUUCCUCUGCUAAAAGAAUCUAGUAUAUAUUCUGUGGGCUGUGCAUUACAUUUUUAUUUGUUUUUGUGUUCCUUAUGGUUGCAUGUUUUGAUGUAGGCAUGUGUGUUAGAACUUAACUUGAAUUCUGGACUGUUUGGAAUGACUUCUUAAUCACUUUGAAAAUCAUUCUAAACAUUGAGUACUUGUUUCUUUAGGAGCUUAUGUUUUAGAAAUUGACGAGUCUAUAUGUUGGGAGCCUAAUACUUUUACAAUGAUUCGCUUCAAGGCUGUUUAUGGGAGUGCUUGAUAGUGGAACUUGGAAAAAGCACGUUAGGGGUUCUUUUGGCCCAAACACUUACCUAAAAAGUACCUAUAUACAUUUUCUUUUUUAAAAAGACUGAAUACUUUUUAUUUAAGUGCUUAUGUCAGCACUCCUAGAUGCAUCUUUAAUACCUCUCCUUGGUAUGAAUCUCAUUCUUUAUCCUGCAUUUUGUCAUCAUAUCUUACUAUGGCCACAACAUUAGUGUUGAAGUUUCAACUUUUGCCUUUUGUUUAAUCAAAUAGCCCUUGGAAUCCUUCAAUCAGUCUACUUAAGGAGAAUAGAAAGAGCCAGCUAGUUAUGAACUUCUGAUUCUUGCCUAAGUAGUUGCUCAUCCUUUUGCCUAUUGUUUAAUCGACAGUUCUCGGGAUCCUUUUACGAGUCUAAUUCAUUUCUAUUUUGCUGCUAAGUUAUCCCAAGUUCUAGCUGUUUGUGCCGCCGUAGAUAAGUGGAGAAUGGUUGCAAACGACCCCCAUCACAGGCAGAAAAUAUUCUCUUAGAUUUACUGCUUUGGCGAGGUUGAUUAUUUCAUGAAUGACUUUCGACUCUUUCCUCACAAGACAAUGUCCUACCAUUUUCGAAAAUGCUUUGAAAGCACAUAUAGCAUGUGUGAUUUUCAAGUUCUGCAUUUUGGUGGAGUAGGCCCUAACACUAUAAUGGUAAAGAAAAGAUGUUUUGUUGAAUCCCCUAACUUUUAUCCACCUCACUUUGCCUUUGAUGGCCAAUCCUUUUAGGAGUAACGGAAAAUAUCAAUCCAUCUUUGAUUUGCUCCACAUAUUUGCAAUGUGGAAGUCAAUUGCAAGUAUUUCAUACUAUUCAGUACUCGACUCAGUGUUCAAAUUGCAAUCGAGCAAAAAUCACCAUCGAUUGUCAUUUCAAUCCUUGUUCAAAUUCAUAGCAUAUCGACAUUGCUGAUUGGUUAUACAUUUUUCUGGCUAUUGUUCAUUGUUAGGUGAUAUAUCCUAAUUUAUCUCAUUAUCUUCCCCUUCAGCUCUCCCUUUUGGUUUCUAGCACUAAAUCAAAUCAAAGAUUUUGUUUCUGUGCUUCCCUAUUCUUGUCAUUUAGGAAAAAUUAUAACCAAAAAUGUCAAUACGGGCUUUCAUCUUCUCGAUAUCGAAAUGAUUUUAUAGCAGUGAUUUUGAAUCUUCAGCGUACAAAGGGAUGGCUAUGGGAAAUCCAAAAGUUUGUUGCUGCCGCCUCUGCUAGCUUUUUCAAUGAAUGAAUGAUUCACUAAGUCACAUGGAAUUUUAUUUUUCCUUCAAGUUAUAAUUUCUUUGUAGGGGCCCUCGCAACUCAGACUUCAUUUCUUUAUGACCCCUACAUUAAAUUAUUGUACUAUUGUCUAACAUAUCACCAAAUUGUACAUUCUGUAAUCUACUCGACAUAUAUCAAUCAACCGAUUUCGAGUUUGCACCAACAGCGUAAGACCUUUCAAAUGUUACAAAUCAGUAAAUAUAUCAUUUUUCUUCUACA